UCUUGCCAAUGGGAAAUGGAAUGCUGGUAAUUUAUAGGAAGUGACCUCACAAUGACCCAAGCUCCUGUUUGUUGAUUGUGAUGAAAUGCAUGCUGAGGCACAUGCCUUGGGAGCUAAGUGGCAGCUAUACUUCACUACUAUGGCAGUAAAGAUGACUAUAAAGACUGGCGGGGGAUGGAUCCUUUCAAAUGUACCUGAGCUGGGAUGCCCAGCUUGUGGAACGCACAGCAGGAGAAGGAACAUCUGAAGGAACACCUGAUGAGGCUGCACCCUUGGCGGAAAGAACACCUGACAUGGCUGAAAGCUUGGUGGAAAAACCACCUGAUGAGGCUGCACCCUUGGUGGAGGGAACAGCUGACAAAAUUCAAUGUUUGGGGAAAGCAACAUCUGGAAAGUUUGAACAGUCAGCAGAAGAAACACCUAAGAAAAUUAUGAGGACUGCAAAAGAAACAUCUAAGAAAUUUGCAUGGCCAGCAAAAGAAAGACCUAGGAAGAUCACAUGGGAGGAAAAAUAAACAUCUGUAAAGACUGAAUGCGUGGCAGGAGUAAUACCUAAUAAAACUGAAGUUUUGGAAAAAGGAACAUCUAAGAUGCUCACGUGUCCUACAAAAGAAACAUCUACAAAAGCAAGUACAAAUGUGGAUGUGAGUUCUGUAGAGUCUAUAUUCAGGAAUCCUGUCGACUUGAAUUUUGUAGUUUCUUUCUUCACUUCUCCUGUAAAUACUGGAUCCUGCUUGACAAUCAUAGAUAGUCUCACCCUGUCACCCAGGCUGGAAUGCAAUGGCACGAUCUCGGCUCACUGCAACCUCCACCUCCCAGGUUCAAGCGAUUCUCCUGCCUCAGCCUCCCGAGUAUCUGGGAGUACAGGCAUGCGCCUCCACGCCCAGCUAAUUUUUGUAUUUUUAGUAGAGACGGAGUUUCACCAUGUUGCCCAGGCUGGGCUCAAACUCCUGACCUCAUGAUCCACCCGCCUCGGCCUCCUAAAAUGCUGGGACUACAGGCGUAAGCCACUGCACCUGGCCCGAUUUCACUUUCAAAAAUUCAACAGUCUGCAUAGGUUACUUAAUUCUACCCAUUUAGCCUAUCUUAUAAAUAUUUAUCUUAUCACUAUGUAAUUUUCCUCAUGUAGGUCAUCUACUCAUACUCCAAAUGUAUUUAUCCAGAUCUUUCUUCCAAGCCCCUUGGGUGCCCCAAAUCUUAUAGGUCUCAAACUGAAAGCAUCAUUUUUAUUCUGUUCCUGUUUUCUGACUCUUCGUAAUCUACUCUGUCAUCUGGUUUCCCCAUCCUAGGAAAUAACACCUAGGAAGUAGCGGUGAAACACUCAAGCACUUAAACCUGCACUUCAACCCUCCCCCACAUCCUAAACUUCAACCCUUUUCCAUGUCACCCAUCCAGUCACACACCUAAUUUUGUAUUUUCUACCUUCUUAUAAUUUUCCAUAUCUUAUUACCAUAAUUAACUCUCUACCUAUAAUUUUGAAGUACUCCUUUCUAGUUUUGCCCCAUCUCCCCAUGUUCAUCUAUCUUUACAUCGCUGGAAGGGUCACCUUUCUAAAAUGUAUUUGUAAUGAUGUAACUCAUCUGCAUAUUGAGUGAAUACCCAUUACACGAAGGGGUAAGUUCACAUUCUAGCGUGACACAUAUCUUAUAUGGUUUGGCCCCAUUUUAUCUCUUCAUCUCUUUCCUCUGUGUUCCAGUUUUACGACAUCACCUUGGCACCCCUCAAUUGCCAUGUUGUUUCAUGCCUUAUUAUUUUACACAUGCUAUUGCACCUAGAGUCUUUGUAUCCUGACUCUGCACUUUGUCUGUCCUUCCCAAUAUGGCCCCAUUAUGGCAGCAUUUUCUAUGCUUUUCAGAUAAAACUGAUUGUUCUCUCCUUUGUGCCCUUAUGUAUUAUAUUGACUUAAAUUGUAGAACUGGUGAAUUAUACUUUUCUGUUCUUAUUUGUUUUCACGUCUCUAACAUUUCUUGAAUAUAGGCCAGAAUCUAUCUUCUGUGUAUAUUUCCUGCUUCUCCCAGGAUAGUGCCUGUGAUUCGAUAGAUACAAUGUAUGGGUUUUUUUGUUUGUGUUUUGUUUUGUCUUACUGACAAAUUGAGUGAAUGAGUGAAUAAAUAAAGUUUUUUCUGAAGUUGUUUUUUGGUGCUUUUUGGUUUUUGUUUGUAAUAGAAGGAAGCAACAAAGACAGCAACUGAACAACAAGAAAAUGAUAUUGGAAUUAUUGAAUGAGCGCCAUAAGAUCUAACAAAUAAGAUGCCCACAUCAGAGUCAGGACAAAAAGAAGAUACGAAAUCACCUUCAGUUUCUGAGACAGAUUCAACUAGCCUAUCAAUAUUCUUGGGUGCAGUUCCUUCUCAUGAAAGAGCAAGGGAACUUAAAAAAUAUCACUGUGAACAACUUACAGCAAAAAUAAAACAAAUGAAAAAUAAGUUUUGGGUACUACAAAAGGAACUAUCAGAAGCAAAAAUAAAAUUGCAGUAAGUGAAUCAAAAGGUUAAAUGGGAACAAGAGCUCUGCAGUGUGAGCUUGGAAUGAAGUUGAUAAUAGUGAGACCUUGUUGGUACAAGACUAUGUAACACAACCUGCACUUCUCAACAAAAAAUUGCUUUUCUGACUUCUGCACUCAGUAGGUAUCUUUGGAAAAUAAUCUCCUAUUGGUACUGAGGCACCCUGGCUAAGUUUUGUAAUUCUUGUUGACAUUUGUUCGUGGUGCCAGAAAAGUAUUAUUAAGUAUUAUUAACUAUUCUAAAGAUAGUUACUUUUCUUUAAGACAGAGUCUCGCUCUGUCACCCAGGCUGGAGUGCAGUGGCAUAAUCUCGGCUCACUGCAAGCUCCACCUCCCGGGUUCAUGCCAUUCUCCUGUCUCAGCCUCCCGAGUAGCUGGAACUACAGGUACCCACCACCAAGCCCAGCUAAUUUUUUUGUAUUUUUAGUAGAGACAGGGUUUCACCAUGUUAGCCAGGAUGGUCUCAAUCUCCUAACCUUGUGAUCCACCCACCUCGGCCUUCCAAAGUCCUGGGAUUACAGGCGUGAGCCACUGCGCCUGGCCAAGAUAGUUACUUUCUUAGUGACACAAGUCACUAUGUCACAAAGUUGAUCCUUGAAUAAGGGUUUUCACUGUAGGAGCCCACUAACAGACAGAUUUUUCUUUUCCUUUGGCACUGCAAGAUAGCAAGACAAAUCUCUCCUCUGCCUCCUCAUCAGACUACUCAAUGUGAAGGCAAUAAGAAUGAAAACCUUUAUGUAUAAUAAUUCACUUCCACUUAAUAAAUAGUGAAUAUAUUUUUUCCUCCUUGUA
Molecule: long non-coding RNA, 3295 nt
Filed under: Homo sapiens (human)
Lineage: Eukaryota; Metazoa; Chordata; Mammalia; Primates; Hominidae
Description: HSALNT0357673
Source: RNAcentral